GAUGAAGAACGCAGCGAAAUGCGAUAAGUAAUGUGAAUUGCAGAAUUCAGUGAAUCAUCGAAUCUUUGAAAGCACAUUGCGCCCAUUAGCAUUCUAGUGGGCAUGCCUGUUCGAGCGUCAUUUCAACCCUUAAGCCCUGUUGCUUAGCGUUGGGAGCCUACAGUACUGUAGCUCCCCAAAGUUAGUGGCGGAGUCGGUUUCACACUCUAGACGUAGUAAUUUUUUCUCGUCUGUAGUUGAGCCGGUCCCCUGCCGUAAAACACCCAAUUUAUCAAGGUUGACCUCGGAUCAGGUAGGAAUACCCGCUGAACUUAAGCAUAUCAAUAAGCGGAGGA
RNAcentral lists this unclassified non-coding RNA (335 nucleotides) under soil metagenome. RNAcentral's name for it is "partial contains 5.8S ribosomal RNA, internal transcribed spacer 2, and large subunit ribosomal RNA". The stretch from base 1 to 120 matches the Rfam family "5.8S ribosomal RNA", at positions 35 to 154 of the family's 154-position model. The record is from RNAcentral.